RNAcentral lists this unclassified non-coding RNA (209 nucleotides) under plant metagenome. RNAcentral's name for it is "partial contains small subunit ribosomal RNA, internal transcribed spacer 1, and 5.8S ribosomal RNA". The record is from RNAcentral.
UCUCCGUUGGUAAACCAGCGGAGGGAUCAUUACAGGAACUCGCAAGACUCCUAACCCACUGUGAACCUACCCGACGUUGCCUCGGCGGGCGCCCGGCCUCGCGCCGGGCACCAAGCCCGCCGGCGGCCCCCUACUCUGUCUCUGCAGCGUUGUGUCUCCGAGUAUACCAAAACAAGUCAAAACUUUCAACAACGGAUCUCUUGGCUCUA